Molecule: ribosomal RNA, 596 nt
Filed under: Malassezia pachydermatis
Lineage: Eukaryota; Fungi; Basidiomycota; Malasseziomycetes; Malasseziales; Malasseziaceae
Description: partial large subunit ribosomal RNA
Rfam family: Eukaryotic large subunit ribosomal RNA
Source: RNAcentral
AAACUAACAAGGAUUCCCCUAGUAACGGCGAGCGAAGCGGGAAGAGCUCAAAUUUGAAAGCUGGCACCUUCGGUGUCCGCGUUGUAAUCUCGAGACGUGUUUUCCGUGUGGCGCUAUGGACAAGUCCCUUGGAACAGGGCAUCGUAGAGGGUGAAAAUCCCGUACUUGCCAUGGAUGUACCAUGCUUUGUGAUACACGCUCUAAGAGUCGAGUUGUUUGGGAUUGCAGCUCAAAAUGGGUGGUAGACUCCAUCUAAAGCUAAAUAUCGGGGAGAGACCGAUAGCGAACAAGUACCGUGAGGGAAAGAUGAAAAGCACUUUGGAAAGAGAGUUAAAAGUACGUGAAAUUGUCGAAAGGGAAGCGCUUGAAGUCAGCCAUGCUGCUUGAGACUCAGCCUUGCUUUUGCUUGGUGUAUUUCUCGGUAGCAAGCCAGCAUUGGUUUGAGUCGUCGGAGAAGGGUAUGAGAAAUGUGGCAUCCUCGGAUGUGUUAUAGGCUUGUACUGGAUACGACGAUUUGGAUCAAGGAACGCAGUGUGCCUCUGGCGGGUCUUCGGACACCUUCACACUUAGGAUGCUGGCGUAAUGGCUUUAAGCGG